CGGAGGCGGGGCCAGCGCGGGCUGGAAGUGAGCGUUGAGAACUUGCAGGCUAGUCCCUGGGCCGCUGCGAGGGCUGGAGGAGCUACUCAAAGACGCCCGCUAAAUGUUAACAGCGCUCAACACUGCUGCUUCAAACGCCUCCCCGGCCUUGUCAGCUUGACACGCGCGGCGGGUCGGAGGCUCACUGGACCAGAAACUUGUCUGGCAGGACGGACUGGUUGGCCCCGCGGCAUUCCAGCCCAGUGUCAUCACCUUGAAAACAGGAGAUGCUUUUGCCUCACUGGGCGUCCAGAGGUGCGUCGGCCAACAAUUCCGAUCACAACCGCAGCGCCGUCUCCCAGAAACUCAGUACUGAAUCUCACAAAGGUCACCACCUAGGAUCCCAACACAGUGUGAGAUGCUAUGGGACGCCGUUGCCCUCCAGCUAGUCUCUGAGCAGUGGUGGACCUUGGGCUGCCAAAGCGGGAACAGGAAGGGCACAAGAUCUGCAUUAAUUCUAGUCUUAAUCCUGUUAGAAGGUGAUUAGUUUUCUUGACAUGUAUCCGCCACCCGGUCAUUACUGACAAGCUAACAAAUGAAAAAAAGAGAGAAACAAAGAGAAAAAAGAAAAAAGGCGGGCCUUCACACAGGACAAGGUUCAGGAGAGCACCCUUAUAGAAAUAGAUCAACUAUGUAAAUUCCUCAAGGUCUUUACUGACACGGUAAAAGUAAGUAAAGUGUUGAAAAUUUACUAACAAAUGAGCAAAACCAAAAGUCAAAUUAGGAUGCAUUGAAAAGCAGAACACAAAGACAUCAUUUUACCUCACCAAACAGAUCUUUGAAGCUGUGCGGUUAGUUUGGGUUGCACGUUUUCAAAAGGAUGUCGAGAAACCAUAAUUUGUUCCUUAUGGGGUGGAUAACUGAAAUGACAGAGAAGAUUUGAAAAUAAGUCCCUACUGAACAGAGAACUAUGGGGUGACUACAUUAAUAAAUUGUCCAAUUGUUUGGAGGAUCGGAAAUGAAGGAGUGCUUGAUAGUGAAGAAGAUAAUCAGAAUAAUGGCUGAAGCCAGUAGUAGGGUUUCCAUCUCUGGCUACUACCCUACCCUGCAUAAAGGAUUAGAAGUGCUCCAUUCUAACUCUCUGGAAGUCAAGAAGCCUGAGUUCUAGUGCUGCCAAUGCCACUAAUUGCAUGGCCUUGAACAGAAUAUUUAAGAGGCUACAAGAAAUUGAAUCAACAUAUAUUGCUGAGCAGCUGCAUGUGGAAAAGGAAGGGUGAGGAAUUAAGAAACGUAGGCACGUUUUUGACUUGGGUGGCCAGGUGGCUGGUGUUGUCAUUCCUGGAGACUGGGACUACAGGAGGAGAAAUAGGGUUGAAGGAAGAUGGAAGAGAAAAAAUGAGAUGCCUAGUGUUGAUCUAUGACAGUUAAUCUGACAGACAAAAAUCACUUACCCCUUGGAGCUUAUAUUCUUGGAAAGGUGGAGAGAGGAAAGACAGACCAAUAAACAAAUGAAUAUAUAAAAUGUUAGCUGAGUCUCGCUUUUGUUGCCCAGGCUGGAGUACAAUGGCCUAGUAUCUGCUCACCGCAAUUUCCGCCUCCCGGGUUCAAGCGAUUCUCCUGCCUCAGCCUCCCGAGUAGCUAGGAUUACAACCUCUACAGGUAUUAUCAAAGAGAAGAUGAGAACCUUGAACUGAGAGGACCUCACAAGCCUGUAGUGAAGGAAGACCCUGUUGCCAAGAUGAGGCAGGUCUUUCAGGAAGUAUUCCAAACAAAGGCAUUGUUAUCCUAGAAGAUGACAGCUCCAUGCAUGUUAUUAUCCCUGAAAUCCUUCCAGUGGGACAAGAUAUGGAAAUGGAAGACAGUGAUAUUGAUGAUCCUGAUGCUGUGUAGGCCUAGGUGCAGACGGUGGAGUUAAUCAUUCUCCUCAGUUCCUACUUGGUGAAUGUUUCAUGCAUCCGUGUGAAGAGAGUCCACCAAACAGGCUUUGUGUCUUUACCUCUCAACUGAACCCUGAACUCCUGGAGAAUAGAUGCUGUCGGGAAAUCACCAGCUUCUCACAAAGCAAUGAUCGUUGAAUAAAUCCUUGUUAAAUAAUGACAGUUUUCCUUUUUGGAUUGCUGUGAUCUCUACUCCCAUCACGACUGCUAAGCCUUGGGCAGGAGACCUUGUAUUCCCAGCCAGCUAUUCUUCCCACCGCCAUCCGUAGUUGGUCUCACUAUGUUGUGCAGGCUGGCCUCAAACUCCUGGGCUCAAGGGAUCUUCUCAUCUCAUCCUUCCAAAGGGCUGCGAUUACAAGUCUGUUUUAGGCACAUCUUGUAUCCCUCUUGCCUCAACUCUGGAAUUGGUUACCACUACUUCUGAACUGGGUGGCAGCUACAGACAGAGGUGGUAAGGGAGUAAUUGCUUAGGAUUGGACUGAGCUGAAGAAUGUUUAGCCUGGCGGUACUAGUGCAACUGGAAGAACAGAUGAACCAUAGUUUGCAACACAAAGCCAAGUCAACCAACAGAAGAAAUAUAUAUUUUAAGAAGAUUUUAUAUUUUCAACUGAAAACGUUCAUGUCAGUUGUGAAUGUAUUUGUAAUUGGCAGCCCCAAAUCAUCUCCCUUUUUAUUUUUGAGAAAGUGUAGUGUGCUUUAGUAUUUGGAACAUUCAUUUAAACCUAUUAAAUUAUAUUUUAAAAUGCACUGUUCCCAUUUCAAUCAAAAUUGGUUUUAUACUAUAUAUUGUAACACUAAAGUGCUUCUGGUAAUUUGCUUGUAAAACCAAAACUCUUUUAAAUUUAUCCACUUGUCCCUUUCAGAAAUGACGUGUUUGUGCAUAGGACUUGUUAGUAUUCUGAUUCAAACAAAACUACAGUACAUGUAAAAACAUAUUUAUAGAACAUAAAUAAGAAAAUGUGAACCCUGAAGAAUAUUUGAUGGAACUAAUGGACUAUUCUAAUUUUUAUGUGUGAAAAUGAUAAUGUGAUUUUUUAAAAGAGUCCUUCUUUUUUAGACAUGCACACUGAAAUAAUUAUAGAUGAAAUUAUGCAAUGUCUGUGAUUUGUUUCAAAAUAGUCUGGUGCUUAGGGAGAGAGAAGUGGGUGGGGAGAGAGAUGAAAUAAGCUUAGUUAUGAGUUGGUAAUUGUUGAAGCUGGGUCCUAUAUAUAUAUGGGGGUAAGGUCAUAUUCUAUUCUACUUUUGCAUAGAUUUGAAAUUUUUCAUAAUAAAAAGUUAAAAACAAAUCACACACCAAAAAAACUCCCAAACCCAACUGUCAUUAUUUAAUAACUUUGAACUUGGUAUGGACCUAAGAAGGCAUCUUUUACAAGGGAAAUGUGCAGUUCCAAGUCUUUUUCUUGAUGAUUGGGUCUGAAUGUGUUAAUCAAUGCUGCCCUGUCAUAGCCCCGACAUAGGGAAAAUGCUGAAAUGUGAUUUUUAAAUCAUAAAAAUGUGCCCAUAGUAAUAGCUCCAUCUUUUGCACAAUAUUUAAAUCAAUUCAUUGAUUUCCAGUUGCCUGAUAUUCUUAUUUCAGUAACAAAAUAAACGAUACAUAGUUCAGUAAAGUUGAAUCCAUUUGGGUUCAUUUGUGCUCGAAGUCUGAAGCCAAGUAAGAUCUGCUUCUUAGCUGCAUGUCAGGGGAUAAGGCAUCAGUCUCUUUGUAAGGCUUGGUUUCCUUUUUUUUCUUUUAUCGUACAGUUUCUAACCACGUUCAUGAAUAGAUAAAUUAAGGACAAAAUACAUCUAUAUCCCUCCUUGGCUCUUUGUUUAUUUGCAUAUACAGAAUUACUAAUAUAGUCCAUGUCUGUAAAUGUCUUAAAAAUGUCUCCAUUAAAAAAAUCCAGAAAAAUGA
RNAcentral lists this long non-coding RNA (3810 nucleotides) under Homo sapiens (human). RNAcentral's name for it is "HSALNT0320707". The record is from RNAcentral. Lineage: Eukaryota; Metazoa; Chordata; Mammalia; Primates; Hominidae.